UGGGGAAUAUUGGACAAUGGGCGAAAGCCUGAUCCAGCAAUGCCGCGUGUGUGAAGAAGGCCUUCGGGUUGUAAAGCACUUUUGUCCGGAAAGAAAACCUCCGCCCUAAUAUGGUGGGGGGAUGACGGUACCGGAAGAAUAAGCACCGGCUAACUACGUGCCAGCAGCCGCGGUAAUACGUAGGGUGCAAGCGUUAAUCGGAAUUACUGGGCGUAAAGCGUGCGCAGGCGGUCCGCUAAGACAGAUGUGAAAUCCCCGGGCUUAACCUGGGAACUGCAUUUGUGACUGGCGGGCUAGAGUAUGGCAGAGGGGGGUAGAAUUCCACGUGUAGCAGUGAAAUGCGUAGAGAUGUGGAGGAAUACCGAUGGCGAAGGCAGCCCCCUGGGCCAAUACUGACGCUCAUGCACGAAAGCGUGGGGAGCAAACAGGAUUAGAUACCCCCGUAGUCC
RNAcentral lists this ribosomal RNA (449 nucleotides) under uncultured bacterium. Its description in RNAcentral is "bacterial SSU rRNA". It matches the Rfam family "Bacterial small subunit ribosomal RNA", at positions 355 to 796 of the family's 1533-position model. The record is from RNAcentral.